AGACAAAGCCAUAUAUGAUUGAAGGUUAUCAGUACUGUGCUUUUGGAGGAUUCAGAAGAAGUUAUAUCUGAUUGGGAGAUUGAAAAGGAUUGGCCUGAAGGAGAGGUGGUUUUUGAACUGCAUCUUAAAGGAUGAGGAAACUGAGGCUGAGAGGGUAGAGAACUUUGCCUGAGGUCACUCAGCAGGGACCCACCCAUCACAGUAAAUGCCAGCACUGCUGAUGCCAAAACAAUGUUAUUUGUAGGCCCUCGGAAUUUGUGACCUGAAGGAAGAAGAGCAGGGCCGUGGGAAGUAUGUAACCAGUGUCAUGCCCCUGGUCCCAAGGAAGCAGUGGCUUGGUAAAGAGGGGACCCCCGUCAAUAACUCCCUGUAAUUACUGGGCACCCACUCUGAGCUCCUCAGUGGAAUCCUAAGGUUAAUAAGACUGUCUCUAGCCACUGGGGCUCCCAGCCUGGAGUGAGGCCUGAACACCCUGUCCUACCUGGUCCUACCUGGAUGCUGGCCUCAGUAAGCUCCUGGGCUCAUUGAAGAUGAACCUAGCAGUAGUAUUUACACCACUUGUUGUGUGCCCACUGUGGGCCCGGCGCCAUGCCGAGUGCUCUAUGGAUGUGAGAUGAGAACACUGAAGCAGUUUUUUCUAAAGAUAGCUGCCUGGCACAGUGGCUCACAUCUGUAGUCCCAGCAUUUGGGGAGGCCAAGGCAGGUGGAUCACUUGAGGCCAGGAAUUCAAGACCAGCAUGGCCAACAUGUGCUGGGAGAGAAAAGCAUACGACAUAGACAGGGAGGUCAAGCUCCACCACGCAGAUGAGGUGCAGGCCACCAGUCUUCCUCUGCCACAUCUCUUUCUGAAAAGGCAGCCUGUGCUGAGAAACCAUGACUGAGUAAGCCAAGCUUUGUUGGCCGCACCUGCCAAGCCACAGGGUGCCUCAGGCUUGGAGCAUCCCGGAGCCAGUUACAACCCAAGACUUCAGCCUUCUGGAAGGUGUUGGGUCAGCCACCCUGAAGGACGAUCCUGCCCAAGUGACAUGCUUUGCUCUUCCUUCUCACCCAGGACUUCACAUUCACCCUUGCAAUCCAUGUGGGGACACUGUUGGAUAGGAGGCGUGGUCCCAGCGUGGUCUCCCUGUCUGGGCCUCUGCCUAUGCCAAAUGUUUGCCUUACGCUGCACACUCAAGAGGUUCCAUGUAUACAGAUGGGAAUUCCAGAGCUACAGAAAAGGCAGCAAGCACCAUGAUUUAAGCUAACCAGUGUGGAUUCACACCUUCCUCUCUCUCUAUCAGUGGCAGAACUACCAGCUAGAGUAAGAAGUGGUUGAUCCAGGACCUAAACAUUCUGGAAACUCUUGCCCACUUCUGGGAGAAAUGACCCAAUCCAUAGUACUAAGCACACCUUAACUUUCGUAGGACGCAGGCAAGUUGUCAUACCGUGUGCCUAAAUAUAGAAAAAUGAUCCACUGGACUAAUAAAGUGUUAAAUAAAA
This 1479-nucleotide long non-coding RNA is filed under the name Homo sapiens (human). RNAcentral describes it as "long intergenic non-protein coding RNA 2395". Lineage: Eukaryota; Metazoa; Chordata; Mammalia; Primates; Hominidae. The record is from RNAcentral.